UACUGUCAUUUUUACUUAACUUACACAUGCUAGUAUCCGCACACCCGUGAAAACGCCCUUAACACCUUACUAGGAUAAGGAGUCGGUAUCAGGCACAGUGACUCUUGCCCACAACACCUAGCUUCGCCACACCCCCAAGGGUUUUCAGCAGUGAUAAACAUUGUUAAUAAGCGCCAGCUUGACUCAGUUAAAGUAAAUAGGGCCGGCCAACCCGGUGCCAGCCGCCGCGGCUAUCCCGUAGGGCCCAAACUGACUUACUACGGUGUUAAACGUGUUUAAAGUACUUCAACAAUUAGAAUUGUAUUUUGACCAAGUUGUGAUACACUUGUUGCUAAGAAAGACAAAAACGAAAGUUAUUCUAAUUUACCCACUUGAACCCACGACAGCUGGGACACAAACUGGGAUUAGGUACCCCACUAUGCCCAGCCGUAAAAUAUUUAUUUACGUCACUACCACCAGGGAAUUACGAGCCCAAGCUUAAAACCCAAAGGACUUGACGGUGCCCCACCCACCUAGAGGAGCCUGUUCUAUAAUCGAUUUUCCACGUUAUACCCAACCGUUUUUAGCCAAUCAGCCUGUAUACCUCCGUCGCAAGCUUACCAUAUGAACGUAAAUUAGUGAGCCAAAAGAUCUUAAACCAACACGUCAGGUCAAGGUGCAGCCCAAAAAACGGAAAGAAAUGGGCUACAAUUUCUAACUUAGAACACACGAAAGACUGCAUGAAACACAGCCAUGAAGGCGGAUUUAGUAGUAAAAAGAAAAUAGCGAGUUCUUUUUAAUUAGGCACUGGGACGCGUACACACCGCCCGUCACCCUCUUCAACUUAUGCUGACUAUAGUCUAUAACACAACUAUGCACCACAGAAGAGGUAAGUCGUAACAUGGUAAGUGUACUGGAAGGUGCACUUGGAUUA
RNAcentral lists this non-coding RNA (913 nucleotides) under Metaphrynella sundana (Borneo treefrog). RNAcentral describes it as "12S ribosomal RNA". It matches the Rfam family "Bacterial small subunit ribosomal RNA". The record is from RNAcentral. Lineage: Eukaryota; Metazoa; Chordata; Amphibia; Anura; Microhylidae.